This 429-nucleotide ribosomal RNA is filed under the name Pseudomonadota bacterium. RNAcentral describes it as "Proteobacteria bacterium partial 16S ribosomal RNA". It matches the Rfam family "Bacterial small subunit ribosomal RNA", at positions 355 to 776 of the family's 1533-position model. Lineage: Bacteria; Pseudomonadati; Pseudomonadota. The record is from RNAcentral.
UGGGGAAUAUUGGACAAUGGGCGAAGGCCUGAUCCAGCCAUGCCGCGUGUGUGAAGAAGGUCUUCGGAUUGUAAAGCACUUUAAGUUGGGAGGAAGGGCAGUAAGCGAAUACCUUGCUGUUUUGACGUUACCGACAGAAUAAGCACCGGCUAACUCUGUGCCAGCAGCCGCGGUAAUACAGAGGGUGCAAGCGUUAAUCGGAAUUACUGGGCGUAAAGCGCGCGUAGGUGGUUCGUUAAGUUGAAUGUGAAAGCCCCGGGCUCAACCUGGGAACUGCAUCAAAAACUGGCGAGCUAGAGUAGGGCAGAGGGUGGUGGAAUUUCCUGUGUAGCGGUGAAAUGCGUAGAUAUAGGAAGUAACACCAGUGGCGAAGGCGACCACCUGGGCUCAUACUGACACUGAGGUGCGAAAGCGUGGGGAGCAAACAGG